RNAcentral lists this ribosomal RNA (253 nucleotides) under uncultured bacterium. RNAcentral describes it as "partial 16S ribosomal RNA". It matches the Rfam family "Bacterial small subunit ribosomal RNA", at positions 524 to 776 of the family's 1533-position model. The record is from RNAcentral.
UACGGGGGGGGCAAGCGUUGUUCGGAAUUACUGGGCGUAAAGGGUUUGUAGGUGGCUUGUUAAGUCAGACGUGAAAUCCCUCAGCUUAACUGGGGAACUGCGUCUGAUACUGGCGAGCUUGAGUGCAGGAGAGGAACGCGGAAUUCCAGGUGUAGCGGUGAAAUGCGUAGAUAUCUGGAGGAACACCGGUGGCGAAGGCGGCGUUCUGGACUGCAACUGACACCGAGAAACGAAAGCCAGGGUAGCAAACGGG